AUGACUCUCAGCAACGGAUAUCUUGGCUCUUGCAACG
RNAcentral lists this ribosomal RNA (37 nucleotides) under Leptolejeunea astroidea. RNAcentral describes it as "partial 5.8S ribosomal RNA". The record is from RNAcentral. Lineage: Eukaryota; Viridiplantae; Streptophyta; Jungermanniopsida; Porellales; Lejeuneaceae.